AGUGGCGGACGGGUGAGUAACGCGUAAGAAUCUAACUUCAGGACGGGGACAACAGUUGGAAACGACUGCUAAUACCCGAUAUGCCGCGAGGUGAAACCUAAUUGGCCUGAAGAAGAGCUUGCGUCUGAUUAGCUAGUUGGUGGGGUAAGAGUCUACCAAGGCGACGAUCAGUAGCUGGUCUGAGAGGAUGAGCAGCCACACUGGGACUGAGACACGGCCCAGACUCCUACGGGAGGCAGCAGUGGGGAAUUUUCCGCAAUGGGCGAAAGCCUGACGGAGCAACGCCGCGUGAGGGAGGAAGGUCUUUGGAUUGUAAACCUCUUUUCUCAAGGAAGAAGUUCUGACGGUACUUGAGGAAUCAGCCUCGGCUAACUCCGUGCCAGCAGCCGCGGUAAUACGGGGGAGGCAAGCGUUAUCCGGAAUUAUUGGGCGUAAAGCGUCCGCAGGUGGUCAGCCAAGUCUGCCGUCAAAUCAGGUUGCUUAACGACCUAAAGGCGGUGGAAACUGGCAGACUAGAGAGCAGUAGGGGUAGCAGGAAUUCCCAGUGUAGCGGUGAAAUGCGUAGAGAUUGGGAAGAACAUCGGUGGCGAAAGCGUGCUACUGGGCUGUAUCUGACACUCAGGGACGAAAGCUAGGGGAGCGAAAGGGAUUAGAUACCCCUGUAGUCCUAGCCGUAAACGAUGCAUACUAGGCGUGGCUU
This 700-nucleotide ribosomal RNA is filed under the name uncultured bacterium. RNAcentral's name for it is "bacterial SSU rRNA". It matches the Rfam family "Bacterial small subunit ribosomal RNA", at positions 94 to 828 of the family's 1533-position model. The record is from RNAcentral.